AACGAACGCUGGCGGCGCGCCUAAUACAUGCAAGUCGAACGAGAAGCUGUAGCAAUACAGUUGUACAGUGGCGAACGGGUGAGGAAUACAUGGGUGACCUACCCUCGAGUGGGGAAUAACCAGCCGAAAGGUUGGCUAAUACCGCGUACGCUUCCCAGUCUACGGGUUGGGAAGGAAAGCGAUGCCGUGGGUAUCGCGCUCAAGGUUGGGCUCAUGUCCUAUCAGCUUGUGGUGGGGUAACGACUCACCAAGGCAACGACGGGUAGCUGGUCUGAGAGGACGAUCAGCCACACUGGCACUGCGACACGGGCCAGACUCCUACGGGAGGCAGCAGUAAGGAAUAUUGCGCAAUGGGCGAAAGCCUGACGCAGCGACGCCGCGUGGGGGAGUGAAGGUCUUCGGAUUGUAAACCCCUUUCGGGAGGGAAGAUGGAACGAGCAAUCGUUCGGACGGUACC
Molecule: ribosomal RNA, 457 nt
Filed under: uncultured bacterium
Lineage: Bacteria
Description: bacterial SSU rRNA
Rfam family: Bacterial small subunit ribosomal RNA
Source: RNAcentral